Molecule: ribosomal RNA, 253 nt
Filed under: Segatella copri DSM 18205
Lineage: Bacteria; Pseudomonadati; Bacteroidota; Bacteroidia; Bacteroidales; Prevotellaceae
Description: Prevotella copri DSM 18205 partial 16S ribosomal RNA
Rfam family: Bacterial small subunit ribosomal RNA
Source: RNAcentral
UACGGAAGGUCCGGGCGUUAUCCGGAUUUAUUGGGUUUAAAGGGAGCGUAGGCCGGAGAUUAAGCGUGUUGUGAAAUGUAGAUGCUCAACAUCUGCACUGCAGCGCGAACUGGUUUCCUUGAGUACGCAUAAAGUGGGCGGAAUUCGUGGUGUAGCGGUGAAAUGCUUAGAUAUCACGAAGAACUCCGAUUGCGAAGGCAGCUCACUGGGGCGCAACUGACGCUGAAGCUCGAAAGCGCGGGUAUCGAACAGG